Molecule: non-coding RNA, 113 nt
Organism: Acanthosepion pharaonis
Lineage: Eukaryota; Metazoa; Mollusca; Cephalopoda; Sepiida; Sepiidae
Source: the annotation of a GenBank genome assembly
UUACGGCCAUAUCACGUUGAAACACCGGUUCCCGUAUGGUCAUGGAAGUGAAGCAACGUCGGCCAUCGUCAGUAUCUAGAUGAGUGACCGUUUGAAAAUACUAGGUGCUGUAA